Cervus elaphus (red deer) is the source of this 305-nucleotide long non-coding RNA. RefSeq lists it as uncharacterized. The record is from RefSeq and is a predicted model, not a curated record. Lineage: Eukaryota; Metazoa; Chordata; Mammalia; Artiodactyla; Cervidae. The transcript has 4 exons.
AUUUGGGCAGAGGUGUGGGUCUGCCGAGAGCACGUACCCUCCGUGUAACCCUUCCACUGGAUGUUCGUCUGAAUCCUUCAUCAUAACCUGUAAUAAACUGCUAAAGGAGAAGAUGAGUGCAAGUCUUUCUGUUCCUCCAUCUUGAUGGGAAGUGAGGGAACUGCUACACAAUGUCCUAAAAGGACCUGUGAUGAGAAAAAUGUCAAGCGCAGCUUUAAGACCUUGUGUCGAAAGAAGCUAAUGAGAAAGCAGAUUGGAAGGUAUGGCAUCUGCCUGCAACACAGGAGACCUGGGUAUACUCCCUG